AUGACCUUGGCCCAAGAUGAACAUGAAUUGAAACUUCCAUAUAAUCUCCUAUGUUCUCUCAAGGUGCUAUGCGUUCAGCAAAGCUUGGAUCUGAAGUUCUCUGGGGGUAAUAGAGAUUCUACAAGAUUCACCUCUCUUAGGGAGCUAGUCCUUUGUGGUUGCCCCGAGCUGGUCUCAUCGUUGGUGGGUGAAACGAAAGAUGAUGGUACCGUGGAAGUUGGAUUACUCCCUCCAUCACUUGAAGACCUUACUAUCACUCCUCUCCCAAGAAACUUCCAGUCCUUCACUCCUCAAGGCCUUCUCCACCUCAAAAAGCUAAGUCUAUCAGAUAGCCCAUGUUUGAAGUCUGUACAGCUGCAUUCUUGUACGGCUCUACAAGAGCUCCAAAUCUGGCGCUGUGGUAAGCUGGCUGUACUGGAGGGCUUGCAGUUCCUGACCUCCAUUCGAAGCUGGAUAUCUGGUUGA
RNAcentral lists this ribosomal RNA (465 nucleotides) under Triticum aestivum (bread wheat). Its description in RNAcentral is "partial small subunit ribosomal RNA". Lineage: Eukaryota; Viridiplantae; Streptophyta; Magnoliopsida; Poales; Poaceae. The record is from RNAcentral.